Molecule: microRNA precursor, 94 nt
Filed under: Branchiostoma floridae (Florida lancelet)
Lineage: Eukaryota; Metazoa; Chordata; Leptocardii; Amphioxiformes; Branchiostomatidae
Description: mir-2060 microRNA precursor family
Rfam family: mir-2060 microRNA precursor family
Source: Rfam by way of RNAcentral
AUCUGCCUGUGUACGGAUGGUGGUCAGCACCAAGGACAGGUCUAUUUGCGUGUGUGUGGAUGGUGUUCAGUACCAGAGAUAUGUGUGUUUACCU